UACGUAGGGUGCGAGCGUUGUCCGGAUUUAUUGGGCGUAAAGGGCUCGUAGGCGGCGUGUCGCGUCGGGGAGUGAAAGCCCGCUGCUUAACGGCGGGUUGGCUUCCGGUACGGGCAUGCUGGAGUGUGGCAGGGGAGACUGGAAUUCCUGGUGUAGCGGUGGAAUGCGCAGAUAUCAGGAGGAACACCGGUGGCGAAGGCGGGUCUCUGGGCCAUUACUGACGCUGAGGAGCGAAAGCGUGGGGGAGCGAACAGG
This 255-nucleotide ribosomal RNA is filed under the name uncultured bacterium. RNAcentral describes it as "partial 16S ribosomal RNA". It matches the Rfam family "Bacterial small subunit ribosomal RNA", at positions 524 to 776 of the family's 1533-position model. The record is from RNAcentral.